This 23-nucleotide non-coding RNA is filed under the name Cricetulus griseus (Chinese hamster). The record is from RNAcentral. Lineage: Eukaryota; Metazoa; Chordata; Mammalia; Rodentia; Cricetidae.
GCUUCCAGAUUCCAGGACUCAAG